AACAGAUGAUGAACUCAUUGACAGGCAUGCAGAGACUGUGUGCUGAUUGUCAUGUUCUGAUUU
Molecule: small nucleolar RNA, 63 nt
Organism: Macaca mulatta (Rhesus monkey)
Lineage: Eukaryota; Metazoa; Chordata; Mammalia; Primates; Cercopithecidae
Source: Ensembl